This 273-nucleotide ribosomal RNA is filed under the name uncultured Lachnospiraceae bacterium. RNAcentral's name for it is "partial 16S ribosomal RNA". It matches the Rfam family "Bacterial small subunit ribosomal RNA", at positions 68 to 339 of the family's 1533-position model. The record is from RNAcentral. Lineage: Bacteria; Bacillati; Bacillota; Clostridia; Lachnospirales; Lachnospiraceae.
AAGUUUUCGAAUGGAUUUAAAGCAGCUUAGUGGCGGACGGGUGAGUAACGCGUGGGUAACCUGCCUCACACUGGGGGAUAACAGUUAGAAAUAGCUGCUAAUACCGCAUAAGCGCACAAUGUUGCAUGACAUGGUGUGAAAAACUCCGGUGGUAUAAGAUGGACCCGCGUCUGAUUAGCCAGUUGGCAGGGUAACGGCCUACCAAAGCGACGAUCAGUAGCCGACCUGAGAGGGUGACCGGCCACAUUGGGACUGAGAUACGGCCCAGACUCC